GCUGGGCAUGGUGGCGCAUGCCUGUAGUCCUAGCUACUCGGGAGGCUGAGGCAGGAGAAUCACUUGAACCCGGGAGGCGGAGGUUGCGGUGAGCUGAGAUAGCGCCACUGCACUCCAGCCUGGGCAACAGAGGGAGAUUCCGUCUCUA
This is a non-coding RNA of Gorilla gorilla gorilla (western lowland gorilla), 148 nucleotides long. It matches the Rfam family "Metazoan signal recognition particle RNA". From Rfam's summary of the family: The signal recognition particle (SRP) is a universally conserved ribonucleoprotein. It is involved in the co-translational targeting of proteins to membranes. The record is from Rfam. NCBI's taxonomy places the organism in Eukaryota, Metazoa, Chordata, Mammalia, Primates, Hominidae.